Musca domestica (house fly) is the source of this 78-nucleotide non-coding RNA. The record is from Rfam. NCBI's taxonomy places the organism in Eukaryota, Metazoa, Arthropoda, Insecta, Diptera, Muscidae.
UUGAAAGUUCCAUACUUCCUUGCAUUUAAUAGUAAAUAAUUUCAUCAUAUGGAAUGUAAAGAAGUAUGGAGCAGUAAC